This 264-nucleotide ribosomal RNA is filed under the name uncultured bacterium. RNAcentral describes it as "partial 16S ribosomal RNA". It matches the Rfam family "Bacterial small subunit ribosomal RNA", at positions 1237 to 1500 of the family's 1533-position model. The record is from RNAcentral.
GUACAACGAGAAGCGAACCUGCGAAGGCAAGCGGAUCUCUUAAAGCCGUUCUCAGUUCGGACUGUAGGCUGCAACUCGCCUACACGAAGCUGGAAUCGCUAGUAAUCGCGGAUCAGCACGCCGCGGUGAAUACGUUCCCGGGCCUUGUACACACCGCCCGUCACACCAUGAGAGUUUGUAAUACCCAAAGCCGGUGGGGUAACCUUUUGGAGCCAGCCGUCUAAGGUGGGACGGAUGAUUGGGGUGAAGUCGUAACAAGGUAUC